AUUGAACGCUGGCGGCAUGCCUUACACAUGCAAGUCGAACGGUAACGCGGGGCAACCUGGCGACGAGUGGCGAACGGGUGAGUAAUGCAUCGGAACGUGCCCAGUAGUGGGGGAUAGCCCGGCGAAAGCCGGAUUAAUACCGCAUACGACCUACGGGUGAAAGCGGGGGACCGUAAGGCCUCGCGCUGUUGGAGCGGCCGAUGUCAGAUUAGGUAGUUGGUGGGGUAAAGGCCUACCAAGCCUUCGAUCUGUAGCUGGUCUGAGAGGACGACCAGCCACACUGGGACUGAGACACGGCCCAGACUCCUACGGGAGGCAGCAGUGGGGAAUUUUGGACAAUGGGCGCAAGCCUGAUCCAGCCAUGCCGCGUGCGGGAAGAAGGCCUCGGUUGUAACG
This 396-nucleotide ribosomal RNA is filed under the name uncultured bacterium. RNAcentral describes it as "bacterial SSU rRNA". It matches the Rfam family "Bacterial small subunit ribosomal RNA", at positions 29 to 430 of the family's 1533-position model. The record is from RNAcentral.